GCUUUUGGAAAUCGAGUUUUAUAAACUCGCUUUCGCUUUAACGCUUUUUUCCCUUCCCACUUAAAACAAUCUACAGAGACCCGUUCAAAAUCUCUCAAUCUCAGACACCGCUCUCUCAAACUCUCUCAAACUCUCUCAAACUCUUCCCCUCACUGUGAAAAUUUCAAAAUCAACUCACUCUCAGACACUCCGCUCUGUCAAACUCGCCGUGCCGAAGGUGGUUCUCCCAUUGAGACUCAGCCACCGAAACUGAGUUCUGCUCCCAUUGACAGUGAGGCACUCAAAGUCAGUACUGCUCCCAUUGAACCACCGUGCGCCUAAGUAUGGAGCCUCGGAUUGAUGAGGAGUUAGAGGUCUUGGACCCCGGUCCGCGUCAGAGGUCAUUGUUGACACGACAGCCAUAUCAUCGAUCAGAGGCCAUUUGGAAUGGCGAGGACUCGGGCCCACUUACGUGCCGUGGUCGCACUAAGGAGAUGGCAAACGUUCAGAUGCAAGAUAAUCGAGUCAUUGAUAUUAUCAAAUUGCUAAGGCUAGAAGGAUUGUUUAGAGCCCCUUCAAGAGAGAUAGACAAUUGCCUAAUAUCGGCCCUAGUUGAGCGAUGGCGGCCGGAGACUCAUACUUUCCAUCUUCCACAUGGUGAGAUGACAAUCACCCUACAAGAUGUGGAGGUAAUUUUCGGACUUCCGAUAGACGGUGACGUCUUGGUUGGGCCGACUGCUGUGGUGG
Molecule: long non-coding RNA, 726 nt
Organism: Quercus robur (English oak)
Lineage: Eukaryota; Viridiplantae; Streptophyta; Magnoliopsida; Fagales; Fagaceae
Exons: 3
Source: RefSeq, a predicted model, not a curated record